RNAcentral lists this ribosomal RNA (313 nucleotides) under uncultured delta proteobacterium. RNAcentral describes it as "bacterial SSU rRNA". It matches the Rfam family "Bacterial small subunit ribosomal RNA", at positions 536 to 847 of the family's 1533-position model. Lineage: Bacteria; Deltaproteobacteria. The record is from RNAcentral.
AAGCGUUGUUCGGAUUUAUUGGGCGUAAAGCGCGUGUAGGCGGUUUCUUAAGUCUGAUGUGAAAGCCCUGGGCUCAACCCAGGAAGUGCAUUGGAUACUGGGAGACUUGAAUACGGGAGAGGGUAGUGGAAUUCCUAGUGUAGGAGUGAAAUCCGUAGAUAUUAGGAGGAACACCGGUGGCGAAGGCGGCUACCUGGACCGAUAUUGACGCUGAGACGCGAAAGCGUGGGGAGCAAACAGGAUUAGAUACCCUGGUAGUCCACGCCGUAAACGAUGAGAACUAGGUGUUGCGGGUAUUGACCCCUGCAGUGCC